This 252-nucleotide ribosomal RNA is filed under the name uncultured bacterium. RNAcentral's name for it is "partial 16S ribosomal RNA". It matches the Rfam family "Bacterial small subunit ribosomal RNA", at positions 524 to 776 of the family's 1533-position model. The record is from RNAcentral.
UACGGAGGAUGCGAGCGUUGUCCGGAUUUACUGGGCGUAAAGGGAGCGUAGGCGGUUUAUUAAGUCUGGUGUAAAAGGCAGUGGCUCAACCAUUGUAUGCAUUGGAAACUGGUAGACUUGAGUGCAGGAGAGGAGAGUGGAAUUCCAUGUGUAGCGGUGAAAUGCGUAGAUAUAUGGAGGAACUCCGAUUGCGAAGGCAGCGUACCGGCAUCCAACUGACGCUGAGGCACGAAAGCGUGGGGAUCAAACAGG